CUCAAUGAAUUUUAAAUAGCCGCAAUUAUAUUGUGCUAAGGUAGCAUAAUCAUUUGUCUUUUAAUUUAAGACUAGAAUAAAAGAUUUAACAUUUAAUUUAUUUUUUUAAAUUUAAAUAUUUAAAUUAUAUUAAAUAUAAAAAUAUAUUUAUAUAAAAAAAAGACGACAAGACCCUAUUAAACUUUACUAAAGUUUAACUGGGGCAGUUAAUUAAUUAUUAUUUUAAUUUAUAUUCUAUAAAAUUUCUAAUAUAAUUAAAUAAACAAGUUACUAUAGGGAUAACAGCAUAAUAAUUUUUUAAAGAUCUUAUUUAUAAAAAAGUUUAUGACCUCGAUGUUGAAUUAAUUUUCUUUAAUAAGCAAAUAUAUUAAUAGAAAGUCUGUUCGACGU
RNAcentral lists this ribosomal RNA (390 nucleotides) under Taira sp. CL090. RNAcentral describes it as "partial 16S ribosomal RNA". The record is from RNAcentral. Lineage: Eukaryota; Metazoa; Arthropoda; Arachnida; Araneae; Amaurobiidae.